RNAcentral lists this long non-coding RNA (1670 nucleotides) under Cercocebus atys (sooty mangabey). Its description in RNAcentral is "lncRNA (ENSCATG00000045785.1)". The record is from RNAcentral. Lineage: Eukaryota; Metazoa; Chordata; Mammalia; Primates; Cercopithecidae.
GGGACCCAGGCUGGAGAGUUAGUUCGGGUCUGAGGUGUUGUGAGCCGGGAGCGCGAGGAAACCAAAGGCAGGGGCUGGCUGAGGCUGCAGCUCACUGCUGAUUUACCCCAGGACCCCGCUCCGGAGGGGUCGUAGCCAGUUUAGCACAAGUCCAUCAUCCGCUAGUCCCGAAAGCGCUGGGCAGUGGGGUCAGGGGCAGUGGGAGGAAAUCCACCCGGCUGACGCCCUGCGGGUUCUCCGGUUCCCGGGCGCUCGGCGGCGGACGUGGCCCUCAGAGCAGGCCACCGGGCGUUGGGGGUCCAGGCUGACUCCCAGAGCGACCGGGAUCGCCAAGUCACGCCCCACGUGGCCUGGAGGCUUUUUCCUGGUCCUCCCAAUCCUUCAGCCAAAGGCUCUCAUUAUGUGGAGAAUGGAAGUCACUAUUUGGGGGAACUGACUGUCCCCAGGGCACGUCCCAGAAGGGAGCAAAUCCCUCCGAGGAGGCGCAGGAGAUUCACAGGCAGUCUCUAUGCGUGCACCUCCAUUCAGGAUGUGCCAGGACGGCAGACCACAGGCAGCGCCAGAAAUGGCUCGCGAUGCUGGCAGGACAAACAGCCGGGCACCUGGGCGUGGCGACACCGGAGGGACACUGGUUGUACACGCGUGCUGCAGAGUUGGUGACCAUGGGCAGUGCAGCCGCUGGGUUUGGCCUGUGAGGCCAUCCUCAAGGUUCUCUGGAGGCCAGCAAGGAGCUUUCACAGCUGAGAGGCCCCAGACGCAGCUGCAUCCUGGAAUUGUUCUGAGAAAUCUGGGACCUGCCCCACCUCCACCCAGGCAGGGGGCACCAGCCAGCUCCAGAGCUGCCCACCUUCCCUCACAGGCGCACAGGUCAGUGCCAGGCCAACCCCAGAGCGAGAACACCUGUGCUGGACUGUGCUGAAGCAGCGAGGUGGCCUGCACAGGGGCAGCAAGGGAGGUGUCGGACGGAGCCACCCCACGGUUCCCCUGUGAAAGUCUGCACGUCACUCAGAAAGUUGAAGCAAACGAAGCAGGGCUGGAGCUCACAGUUCACAGCUGGCCAGGCUGCACAGGGGAUGCGCCAAGGACAGUUUCCUACGACAAGUGGAAAUCUGUGUGCUGCAGGCGAGCUGGGUCCUGGAAAGUGCAGGGACCAGCCAGCAUCUUGGGACAUCAAGGGCUGUCUCCAGCCAGCAGAUUUCCCAUAAAAAGGUGCUGAACUGGGGACAAAGCUGAUUCUACAGAGCUGAGAAUCCAGACCUUCCCUGGGGACUCCCAAGGGGGCCCUGGCCACCCUCUCCACCUGCAGAGGUUUCCUGGCCCAACAGCUCCUCCUCCGAGGGCCCCCUUCCAGCUCUCGGCCCAUGGGGGAGCCAGUUCCUCAGCUCUGGGCUUGGUGGACAGGAGACCUAGGGCUCCCCGCACCGAGCUGGGCUCAGUGUUUUCUUUUUUUGUUGUUGUUGUUUUUUUUUGAGACGGAGUCUCGCUCUGUCGCCCAGGCUGGAGUGCAGUGGCCAGAUCUCAGCUCACUGCAAGCUCCGCCUCCCGGGUUUUACGCCAUUCUCCCUGCCUCAGCCUCCGAGUAGCUGGGACUACAGGCACCCGCCACCUCGCCCAAGUAGUUUUUUUGUACUUUUUUAGUAGAGACGGGGUUUCACCGUGUUUGCCAGAGG